This 551-nucleotide ribosomal RNA is filed under the name Fusarium sp. JJP-2009a. Its description in RNAcentral is "eukaryotic LSU rRNA". The stretch from base 214 to 367 matches the Rfam family "5.8S ribosomal RNA". The record is from RNAcentral. Lineage: Eukaryota; Fungi; Ascomycota; Sordariomycetes; Hypocreales; Nectriaceae.
GGUCAUUUAGAGNAAGUAAAAGUCGUAACAAGGUCUCCGUUGGUGAACCAGCGNAGGGAUCAUUACCGAGUUUACAACUCCCAAACCCCUGUGAACAUACCAAUUGUUGCCUCGGCGGAUCAGCCCGCUCCCGGUAAAACGGGACGGCCCGCCAGAGGACCCCUAAACUCUGUUUCUAUAUGUAACUUCUGAGUAAAACCAUAAAUAAAUCAAAACUUUCAACAACGGAUCUCUUGGUUCUGGCAUCGAUGAAGAACGCAGCAAAAUGCGAUAAGUAAUGUGAAUUGCAGAAUUCAGUGAAUCAUCGAAUCUUUGAACGCACAUUGCGCCCGCCAGUAUUCUGGCGGGCAUGCCUGUUCGAGCGUCAUUUCAACCCUCAAGCCCAGCUUGGUGUUGGGACUCGCGAGUCAAAUCGCGUUCCCCAAAUUGAUUGGCGGUCACGUCGAGCUUCCAUAGCGUAGUAGUAAAACCCUCGUUACUGGUAAUCGUCGCGGCCACGCCGUUAAACCCCAACUUCUGAAUGUUGACCUCGGAUCAGGUAGGAAUACCCG